RNAcentral lists this ribosomal RNA (650 nucleotides) under uncultured marine bacterium. Its description in RNAcentral is "bacterial SSU rRNA". It matches the Rfam family "Bacterial small subunit ribosomal RNA", at positions 71 to 719 of the family's 1533-position model. The record is from RNAcentral.
AGGUCUAGCUUGCUAGAUGCUGACGAGUGGCGCACGGGUGAGUAACGCGUGGAUAACGUACCUUUCGAUUGGGGACAACUUGAGGAAACUCGAGCUAAUACCGAAUACGUUCUUUGAAGCCUCGGCAGAUAAGAAGAAAGCCUUCGGGCGUCGAAAGAUCGGUCCGCGUUCCAUCAGCUUGUUGGUGAGGUAACGGCUCACCAAGGCGACGACGGAUAGCUGGUCUGAGAGGAUGAUCAGCCACACUGGAACUGAGACACGGUCCAGACUCCUACGGGAGGCAGCAGUGGGGAAUAUUGGACAAUGGGCGAAAGCCUGAUCCAGCAAUGCCGUGUGAGUGAUGAAGGCCUUUGGGUUGUAAAGCUCUGUCAGGAGGGACGAAAUGCCCCGUAAGGGGAGCUGACGGUACCUCCAAAGGAAGCACCGGCUAACUCCGUGCCAGCAGCCGCGGUAAUACGGAGGGUGCAAGCGUUGUUCGGAAUCACUGGGCGUAAAGCGCGUGUAGGCGGUUUUUUAAGUCGGAUGUGAAAUCCCUCGGCUCAACCGAGGACGUGCAUCCGAUACUGGAAAACUUGAGUAUCGGAGGGGAUGGCGGAAUUCCUGGUGUAGAAGUGAAAUUCGUAGAUAUCAGGAGGAACAUCUGUGGCGAA